Molecule: RNA transcript, 1476 nt
Organism: Zalophus californianus (California sea lion)
Lineage: Eukaryota; Metazoa; Chordata; Mammalia; Carnivora; Otariidae
Gene name: transcription factor BTF3 homolog 4-like
Exons: 1
Source: RefSeq, a predicted model, not a curated record
GGUCAUGAUCUGACCUGAAGGCAGAUGCUUAACUGACUGAGCCACCCAAGCACUCUGAUUUUUAAAAUACAUUUUUGGACAGCCAUCUUGCUCUUGCCGCGUGCUGUUGUUGGAGGACCCUCCCUGCUUCAGAUUUACCAACAGCAUGAAUCAAGAAAAGUUAGCCAAACUUCAGGCUCAGGUCCAGAUAGAGGGCAAGGGUACAGCUCGCAGAAAGAAGAAGGUGGUACAUAGAACAGCUACGGCUGAUGACAAAAAACUUCAGAGUUCUCUAAAAAAACUGGCUGUGAAUAAUAUAGCUGGGUGAUUAUAUUGAAGAGGUGAACAUGAUUAAAGAUGAUGGGACAGUUAUUCAUUUCAACAAUCCCAAAGUCCAAGCUUCCCUUUCUGCUAACACCUUUGCAAUUACUGGUCAUGCAGAAGCCAAACCAAUCACAGAAUUGCUUCCUGGAAUAUUAAGUCAGCUUGGUGCUGACAGUUUAACAAGUCUUAGGAAGUUAGCUGAACAGUUCCCUCGGCAAGUGUUGGAUAGCAAAGCACCAAAACCAGAAGACAUUGAUGAAGAGGAUGAUGAUGUUCCAGAUCUUGUAGAAAAUUUUGAUGAGGCAUCAAAGAAUGAAGCUAACUAAAAAUUUUUCUGGAGUUUGGAAGCUGGCAUGGACUAGAUUUAACAAAUCAGCUAUGUGGUUCCAAAGUUUUACAGACAUGGAGAACAUCAACUGUUACUAGUAGUUCAGUAAUAUAAAUAUUUUGUAUAUUAAUAAUGCUGUUUGUUCAGCAUUUUUCGGUCAUUUGAUUUUGCAUUUUGCACUUCCUCCCAGGAUCUAUUCUUUCAGUCAAAAUACGAAGUAUUGGUGCAGUUUGAGGGUGUUUUGGUGUUUGAUUCUCAGUUUUCUGUUUUUUCGUUGGGGUAUUUUUGGUGUGUGUAUGUGUAUGUAUGUGUGUGCGUAUGUGUGUAUACAGUGGAGAGCAAAUUGGAAAACAGUUCUAUUUAUCCUCCUUCUUCCCCCAGUAGAAAAUAAAACAAAUCUUUACAUUUAAAAAACAAAACAUUUUUAUUACUAAUGUGUUAAAUGUGUUGCUAAAUGUCUUCUGGUUUGUAGCUUUUCACUUUCUUAAGAAGUCUUCUGAUGAACACCAGUUUUUAGUUUUAAUAAAGUCAAAUUUACUGAUCUUUUAUGAUUUAUAAUUCUAUUUCCAUUCUCUGGGUAAUUUUGUAUAAGACUGUAAUAAUUGGUUUGGUUUGGUUAAAGUUUGGUUUCAGACUCACUUAUAAAACUAUCUGGGCUCGGUGAGUUUUUUGGGUUUUUUCUGUUGUUGUUAGAGUAGUUUAAAAUUUAGAGACUCAUUCUAAGUUCUAUGAUUCUGGAUCUAAGUUUUCUUAUCUUUGUAACAGUUAAAUUACUGGAGAAUACUAAAUAAUAACCUAUAAAGAAUUAAUACUGUCCCUUUUAUAUGGCAGAUUUGUAAAUACAU